CAUAUCGGUUAUCGGACACAUAAACAUGCAAAUAAUUGGUAUCGUAUCGGUUAUAAAAAAAUCAAUGUCGGUCGAUCACUAGUUGUAAACUUGUAUUA
Molecule: long non-coding RNA, 98 nt
Organism: Sinocyclocheilus rhinocerous
Lineage: Eukaryota; Metazoa; Chordata; Actinopteri; Cypriniformes; Cyprinidae
Exons: 3
Source: RefSeq, a predicted model, not a curated record